AUUGAACGCUGGCGGCAGGCCUAACACAUGCAAGUCGAACGGUAGCACAGAGAGCUUGCUCUCGGGUGACGAGUGGCGGACGGGUGAGUAACGUCUGGGAAACUGCCCGAUGGAGGGGGAUAACUACUGGAAACGGUAGCUAAUACCACAUAACGUCGCAAGACCAAAGUGGGGGACCUUCGGGCCUCACACCAUCGGAUGUGCCCAGAUGGGAUUAGCUAGUAGGUGGGGUAAUGGCUCACCUAGGCGACGAUCCCUAGCUGGUCUGAGAGGAUGACCAGCCACACUGGAACUGAGACACGGUCCAGACUCCUACGGGAGGCAGCAGCGGGGAAUAUUGCACAAUGGGCGCAAGCCUGAUGCAGCCAUGCCGCGUGUAUGAAGAAGGCCUUCGGGUUGUAAAGUACUUUCAGCGGGGAGGAAGGCGGUGAAGUUAAUAGCUUCACCGAUUGACGUUACCCGCAGAAGAAGCACCGGCUAACUCCGUGCCAGCAGCCGCUGUAA
RNAcentral lists this ribosomal RNA (504 nucleotides) under uncultured bacterium. Its description in RNAcentral is "partial 16S ribosomal RNA". It matches the Rfam family "Bacterial small subunit ribosomal RNA", at positions 30 to 523 of the family's 1533-position model. The record is from RNAcentral.